This 497-nucleotide ribosomal RNA is filed under the name uncultured bacterium. Its description in RNAcentral is "partial 16S ribosomal RNA". It matches the Rfam family "Bacterial small subunit ribosomal RNA", at positions 28 to 507 of the family's 1533-position model. The record is from RNAcentral.
GAUGAACGCUGGCGGCGUGCCUAAUACAUGCAAGUCGAGCGAACGGACGAGAAGCUUGCUUCUCUGAUGUUAGCGGCGGACGGGUGAGUAACACGUGGAUAACCUACCUAUAAGACUGGGAUAACUUCGGGAAACCGGAGCUAAUACCGGAUAAUAUUUUGAACCGCAUGGUUCAAAAGUGAAAGACGGUCUUGCUGUCACUUAUAGAUGGAUCCGCGCUGCAUUAGCUAGUUGGUAAGGUAACGGCUUACCAAGGCAACGAUGCAUAGCCGACCUGAUAGGGGGAUCGGCCACACUGGAACUGAGACACGGUCCAUACGCCUACGGGAGGCAGCAGUAGGGAAUCUUCCGCAAUGGGCGAAAGCCUGACGGAGCAGCGCCACGUGAGUGAUGAAGGUCUUCGGAUCGUAAAACUCUGUUAUUAGGGAAGAACAUAUGUGUAAGUAACUGUGCACAGCGUGACGGUACCUAAUCAGAAAGCCACGGCUAACUACGUG